This 253-nucleotide ribosomal RNA is filed under the name uncultured bacterium. RNAcentral describes it as "partial 16S ribosomal RNA". It matches the Rfam family "Bacterial small subunit ribosomal RNA", at positions 524 to 776 of the family's 1533-position model. The record is from RNAcentral.
UACGUAGGGGGCAAGCGUUGUCCGGAAUCAUUGGGCGUAAAGAGCGCGUAGGCGGUCCGGUAAGUCAGCUGUGAAAGUCAGGGGCUCAACCCUUGAAAGCCGGUUGAUACUGUCGGGCUAGAGUCCGGAAGAGGCGAGUGGAAUUCCCGGUGUAGCGGUGAAAUGCGCAGAUAUCAGGAGGAACACCCGUAGCGAAGGCGGCACUCUGGGCCGAUACUGACGCUGAGGAGCGAAAGCGUGGGGAGCGAACAGG